UGCCUCCUUCCUCUCUUGUAGCAUGGCCGAGCAGAGCGGACCGCGGUACAGGAGCUUCAGUUUCCUGUACUUGGCCGGACUGACGGGAAGUGCUCUCUCAGUUCGGCCGGGUACAGGAAACUAAAGCUUUAGUUUCCUGUACUCGGCCAGACUGAUGGGAAGUGCAAAUGAGCUCAACAAAGAACCACAUUUUUGCCUCAUAAUUCCACUUUAUACAUGGAUUCCUUGGAG
Molecule: non-coding RNA, 231 nt
Organism: Pelobates cultripes (western spadefoot toad)
Lineage: Eukaryota; Metazoa; Chordata; Amphibia; Anura; Pelobatidae
Source: the annotation of a GenBank genome assembly